GGUGUUGUAGGGUAAUAGUAACCCGCCGGACUCCUACUGCAGAGCAGGAUACAGCCGGAAAUUGCAGGUGCAAGUCCUGCCAACAUCG
Molecule: transfer RNA, 88 nt
Filed under: Coniochaeta ligniaria NRRL 30616
Lineage: Eukaryota; Fungi; Ascomycota; Sordariomycetes; Coniochaetales; Coniochaetaceae
Rfam family: tRNA
About the family: Transfer RNA (tRNA) molecules are approximately 80 nucleotides in length. Their secondary structure includes four short double-helical elements and three loops (D, anti-codon, and T loops).
Source: Rfam by way of RNAcentral